Molecule: long non-coding RNA, 8427 nt
Organism: Cephus cinctus (wheat stem sawfly)
Lineage: Eukaryota; Metazoa; Arthropoda; Insecta; Hymenoptera; Cephidae
Exons: 7
Source: RefSeq, a predicted model, not a curated record
GGGGGGGGGGGCGUUGAUGAUCCAAAGAAAUUUAGUGGAUACAAUAAAGAAACAAUCGAAAGAAAAUAUACGAAUAUUCAAAUGAUUCGUGUCUCUAGUCAUUUAGCGUAGGGCACAAGAGGGCGCUCCGACGGGAACUUAGGCAAAGGCUCGUUCUUAACGUUGGCGUCUUAUGAGAGUUCUCGUCUGUAAUUUCUUUUUGCCACUUUUUCGAUAUCCCGAUUUGUUCGAGAGAAACGAAUGCCGAGUAAGAGUGACUUUUGAAAGUGAUUGAGAUAAUACGAUCAUCUCAUCACCAUCCAUCUCGAGCAUGUAGAUAGUUAAGAUAACCGGUCAGCAAUGAGAUAAUGUAUGCGAACGACGUAUGCGUGUGUAUGUUUGCUUGAAAGUGGAAGAAUUUCGGGAUAAUAAGGUAAACCGAAAAAAAGAACUUAAAAGAGAAAAAUCUAUAGAGCUGAUAAGAGGGAACACGAUUCAAAAAAAAAAAGAGCACGCAGGGAACCCUGAUAUCAUCAAGAAUCGUAAAUCGUAGAGUAUAAAGUGAACAAAUGAUAGUUAAUGAAAAAAAAUAAGAAGUGGAAAAAAAGACGAUUUUGAAAAAUCUUAUGUAAAACCAACCUUCGACAAAGCAACAAGACGUUCCCGUUUCUUGGAGUUUGGCUAUUUUCAUCUUUCUUUCAAUUCCUAACUCGAGGCAUCGUGCAAGAUCGGAUAUAAUUUCGUGAAAAAUUUUUGGACUUUACAUCAAGACAACGCGUGGUUAUACGUUCGUGUGAAUUUUGAAUAUAUUUUGUACGGGUAUCUGCAAUCUGUCAUGCACGCAAGGAUACGUGAGUGGGAUAAUGAGUCAGAGGGAGAAUAGCCAGAGGAUACAGGAACUAGAGGAUCCAAGAGAGAAGAGGGGUGUGUUUACGAAAUGAAAAAUCCUAUUGAAAAAUGUUUAAAAAGUCACGGGGAACUGUGUAAAAGCAAUCCGUGACACGAUUUGAUGGACAGCCCAUGAAAUCCAUCAGAAAUACUGCCUCUACAUUAAGAGUUAUUAACCUGAACUAAUUAACGGAAUAUGGUGAGUGAGGGAAGGGGAGGGGUGGUUGGGAGAUACUAAACGAAGAAAAACAAUCGUGUACGUACGGACGAGAGUGCACGCGAAGACUCACACGAAUUCGACUAAGGUGAAUGGGAAGGUAGAUUUUUGAAUCGCGCGCGUUUUUUUUUGUUUAGAAUAUUUGAAAAAUAUUCUCUCUACGUUGUGCGGCCAUUUUAGGUAAAACGAGUAUAUAUACACGUGUUAGGUGUGCCUGCGUGCGCGGCUGUAGUACGUUGCGUGUGCGUGUGUGUAUAAUAAAUGAUUAGGGGGGAGACGAUAUAAUCGCACGCUAAUUGUUUAUCGCGCAUGCGCAGCCUUGGAAAGCGGAAACGGAGGGAGUGACGUCAGGAAUGAAAGGAAGCAGAGGAAGAGGGAAUAAACAAACGGAUGAGAGAAAAGAGGAGGGGAGUUACACAAGAGAGAAGACACAUUGGAGCUGCGUACUUUAGUGACGUUAAACUUAAAGAGAGAAAGAAAAUAUAAGAGUGCAAGCGAGAAAAGCGGAAGUGCACGAGCUCGUUCUGUGACGCGAGCGAUGGAUCGAGGCUUAAGGCAACUUCCGGUGGCCGAAUCUAUUAUUGAUUUAGAAUAAGGAAAAAGGAGCAUGACAAGAUCGAGAAAUGUAUUAUUAAAGGUAUAGACUUUUUUUUAGAGUUCAUUCCUUUUCUCUUCUCGAUUCUUUGUUAUUUUUCCUUUUUCCUUUUUUUUUUUUUUUUGAAAAAUAAAAUGGACUCAAGGUUCCACCAUUGGCGGUUUGCGAAAUAGAAUUAGUUCCAUGAUCGCGUCUAUGUUUCUUCGCGAUUCUCAUCGUGUCUCCAGUACUGCUCCCAAUUAUGACCUCGUAUACAAAGAAGAAGAAAAAAGUGGAAAGAUGGCCGCGAUGAGUAUCCCCUGAUGGCUUUUCCAUUAUAUCGGAUAGAAUUGUUUUGUAUUCAGUCACUAAUUCGACUGUUGGCUAUAAGGGUCCUUCGCUUUGUCACGAAUCCUAUGAUGUAUGAGCAACCGGCGACGUUCGCCAUUCGAUUCUCGUCCCGUUGCUGCCAAACGAUUUAUUCGAUUAAUCAUUUUUAUUUAAAUCGCUCAGCAGAGCCACAAACGGCCAAGUAGGGAACUUGGCGUCGAGCUGUAUCUGCGUUUACGGCCGUUUCGAUGUCCCUUAUCGCCCAUUGUGUAUCGCGCAUGCGCGUUGCCGCCAGCGACACGUAGUGACGCGUUCACGAAAUGGUGUUCAAACGAAACCACCGCCAUGUUCAAUCCUCGUCCUGUCUGAUAGUUUUGAAACGGUCGAGAACGGCCACGUGGUUUCCUGUUUUACUGUACGAGACGCGAGAGUGCGCAUGCGCGAUAGCGAAUAGCACAAUUUCAUCAUUUCGAUCUAAUGUCAGCCACUAUUGUCGCUGUUCUAUAUUGCUUCUAAUUCCUUUGUAUCUAAGCCUUGUUUUUCUAUAUAAAAGGAAAAAAAAGAAAAAAAAAAGAAAACAUAACGGCACGACGAAUUCGAAAGCGCGAUGUCCGCCUUUAUGUGUAACAAGAGGGUAAUAAAGGUAAUGGGAAGAGAGAACAAGUAAGAUCCAUGAGAAACAACACAAUUAUACCUAUAGGUACUUGUUUUUUAAAUGUCCCUAAAAUACUUUUUAAGGAGUCCCGACGAUUUUCCCGUGCGGUCCUGUCGAUUCGUCUAGUCGGAUGUUAGUGGCGGAAUUUGAAACACGAAAAACAAAAAAUCAAGAAAAUUGAAAAAGAGUCAUGCGAGCGUGUAUUCUGUGAAAUUAAAAAAUGUGUGCGUGCGAGAGUAUUAGGUAUGUGUGUCAUGUGGAUGCGUGUGAGGUGAAGUUCGAAUCGGAAAAGAAUUUUAAAAAAUGAAGAAACAACAAAAAACAAUAAAUGGGCAUGCGAGUGAAAUAAGGUUAUUAUGAUUAGUAUUAUACGAUACGUACAUAUAUAAUAUAUAUAUAAAUAUAUAUACCGUAAUUGGUGACGCUCGCGAUCGACGCGCCGCUGGUGAGAAUAGCCGGGACUCGCGUGCGACAACUUCCCAUUUUUAAAAACUCUUUAAUAUAAAAAUGGAUAAGAAUUCUCUAUACCGUAAAUAUAAUGGAUAACGUUAAUAUACGGAUGUAAUGCAUUAAAUAAUAAUAAUUAUUACUUAUAAUUAAAAGUACGGUAAAUAUCGAAUAACGGGGACACAAGUGCGAUAAAGAGGUGGCGAGAAGAAAGAACAAACAUAAGAAACUUAACAUAACCUAAUUCACGUUACGGGAAUCGCACGUAGCCGUCAGUCGCGACCACCAGAUGGCUGAAUCGGUGUGGUUUCUCGCAUUUCCCAUUUUUUUGCAUGGAAUUCGGUGGAUUUUCAGAAGGAUGACAAAGUAUUGACCAAAGAUAUAAAAAAAAGUAAGAACAAAGACAUCUUAGAGAGUAUCGAUUUCCGAUUUCGAUUGCUAGUUUAUUUCUACUCCAUUUAUCAAGACCGAGAGAAAAUGGCGUCACCCCCUUGCUUGAGAAACGGGAAAAGCGAACGGCUGCAAGGAUUUCCGCUCGGCGUGCGAUUCGCGUUUGGUCGCCCAAAUGAAUAAAUUACACAAAUUACACAAUUAGGGAGCAAAUAAGAUCGAGCGGAAAUGGCGGAUAUAAAUGAGACGGAAGGAAGAAGAGGAAUUCAAGAGCAAGGGAGGUGAAACAAAGGGAAAAUACACACGCGCACUAGAGGAGAGAAACAGAGUGCGUGAGGGUGUUGAAAGAGUGACGCAGAGAGAGAGAGAGAGAGUGAGAGUGAGAGAGUGCAGGGGGGAGUAACGAAUGAGGUAUAGAAAAGAAUAUAAGAAAAAAAGAGAGAGGUACCAAAGUUGAGACAAAAAAGGGAAAUUUGAAAAUCCGAGUGAAAAUAAAGGGUUGUGAAUGGAGAUAGAUACAAAAAUAGAAGAGGAAAGAAGAGAAAGAGAGAAACAAGCAACAUUUAUAAAUCUAUUAAUAUAAUUAUAGCAACACCGAGGAACAUGACGUAAUUGUGUACGUUUCUUUAAUAAUUCCAAGAGCGUGCGAGCGGCAUGAUGUUUGAUAAGAGCGAUAUAGAUUCUCUAAGGGUUCAUAGGUCGAGCUCUUAAGGCAGGAAGAUGUAGUUCUUGUAACGGCGCGUGGCGCCCUCUUCGUUUUUUUGCUAGAUAAAGAAAAAAUACAAGAAUGGGGAUACACGUCCCCGUGGGGCUUAUUACGAAAUCUUAUCACGCGAGAUGCAAACGGGAAAUAUACAAAGGGUGGGGACAAGAUGAGAUAAGAAAGAGAGGAGAGCACGAAAUAAAAAAUAAAAGAAAGAGUUAGAGAGGAAAACUAUUGUUUUGCAAAAAAAAAAGAAAAAUGGGAGAAUAGAAAAAGAGGAUUAAAAAAGAGAAGAAAAUACGGUGACGAAGAAACCAAUUAUUAUUCAUUACGGAUUACGUAUUAUUAUUAUUAUUACCAUUUAUUAAUUAUUGAUUAUUGAUUAUACUUAUACUUGAUGUGAGUGUGGAAAAAAAUAAAGUGUAUGUAGUAGAAUGCCGACCCUUAUUGGCUACGUAUUUGAAGUAGUCAGCGCCGCUUGUGGCCUAUUCUGGCGACUUCGUACAUGCAGAAUAACAUAAGGACUUAUGCACGAAUAUAUUAUUCAUAAGAUUUCUUUUAAUAGAUAUGUUUACAAAACUUAUUUGAAACCGAGUUUUGGACUAUGAUGAUGAAAGAAAUUGUUUAAAAUUUGUUGGGUAACGCGUUCAUUAAUUUUCAAAGAAAAAGAAGGCGUGAUGUUUCUGCCGUGAUUUGUCGUCUGCUAUAGACAACGGUAGUCAGUCCGUGGAACACCACGGGAUAGUUGGUAUUUGUUUGUCUGUUGUAUUGUCGGUUAGAUGAAUUUUACAAUUAAAAAUGGCUUCCAGCCUCCAUUAGUCAUACGAUCGGUUUUAAUCACCAGGGAAUAAUUUAGGACAAAGCCCUAUCAGUUUGCUAUGUUGUACGAGUUCAGCAGGUACGAGACACCGACUCAAACACAGUGAUAGCGUGCAGUAAUACACGCCGUACAUCCGUCACUCUGCCAACUCACAGGGUCUGGUUGCAACUUAACAAAAACUACCAUGUUCAAGAGGUUUUGUGACCGAAACGAAUCCGAAACAGGAAUGGGGCAGUCAAUCCAUUUUGCAACUUAGAAAAGAGUUCCACACCAUUUCGAUGAUUGAAGUAAACGGACGUGUCAACGUUUUGCUGAGGUGUUUCCCAAAUAUUUCAGUGCUGUCUGGAUAUUACAAGCAACCCCCGAGCAUUUGUUGUUUCAUUCUGCGAUUAAUGAAGAUAGAUCCAGCGUAUUAUCGAUCCGGCUUGGAAGAUUCAGCGUAGAUGAAUACCCGUGCUCCACCAGGGAUGCUGAAUUUAAACAUUCCUGAGUCAUCGAAUCCAUCACAGUAUCCGGAUCUUCGAUGAAUCCCGACGUCCAUCAGCCUCUCCAUCGGAUGCUUCCUGAAGAUGAUCCAAUUGGUCCAUAAUAAAUAAAUGUCAGCUGACACCAGAAGAAAAUCAGUUACGAAUGCCAGAACGGCGUUGAUAUUUCAAAAAUAACAGUUGCCUAUCGUAAACUUGCAUAAGCGACUCAGACGACCGUCUACCACUACUGCCAGUCAUAGCAUUGGCUUGCUGUCAAUCCACCAUUUUACUUAUUCCGCACGAUUUCCACGAGGCUGAGUUUCCAUUCGUCAUGCAGCUUUACUGAAUGAAUGUUAUCAACAUAAUUCAAGAGUAUCGCUCAAGAACGACGCGCAUCUUUGAGUACGCGCAUGCGUAUACGAAAGUCAUUCUUUCAUCUUACACUAUAACCUCACUAUCGUCGACUCGCAGUACCCUCCGUAAAGUCUGAACUAAACGUUAUAUACAGGGUGGACCAAUAACUUUGUCCACCUGGAAUAUUUCUGUUAUUUGUAAUAAUUUCAAAAAAUAUUUUAUACAAAACUUUUACGGUAUAGAUGGUAAUAUGAUGUUAUUAUAUUUUGCGAGGGUGGGGGCAUAAAGGAGCUUUCAAGGUCAUUUUCACUUUUUUAAAUGGGAUGCUACAUUUUUUUUUUCGUCGCUAUGCGAUAACCAGUUUUGAGACGAUUUCGGUAAGCUACUGUCAAUGUCAUUUAAAUUCAAAUUUGGUGACAAAGUAAACUUACAUUAUAUCGGAUGUUCAAAGUGUUCACCAUUUGCGUAAAUGCAAAGCUGCAAUCUUUGUAUUAUAUAUUUUCUGGUAUAGUAGUCAAAUAGCUUGCUGAGUUUGCCUCAACACUGGUCAUCGCAUAGAGACGAAAAAAAUGUAGCAUCCCAUUUAAAAAAAGUGAAAGUGACCUUGAAAACUCCUUUACCCCCACCCUCGCAAAAAAAAAUAACAUCACAUUAUGUCCUACAUACCGUACAAGUUUUGUGUGAAAUAUUUUUUGAAAUUAUUACAAUUAACAGAAAUAUUCCAGGUGGACAAAAUUGUCUAUCCUGUAUACAUAUAUAUCAUUCUUAGAUAUAUCACAGUAUACAAUAAUAAUAUUAAUUACGAUAUUAUUUAAUCAAUCAUUAUACAUAAAUUAUUGAAAAAACACAUGGAUUAAGUUAUGCCUUGAUAUAAUUUAUUGGUAUUCACAUUUAUACAGGGAAUACGUUCUCGAUUUUAGUUUAACAAAAUUUGCACCUCAAUCUGAAUAAAAUGACUGUAAUCGGGGCAGUCCUCGUCCUCGUCCUCGGUGCGCCUGAUCUGGUUAUAAUAUGAAAAGGAAAUGAGAUGACAACGGAAAGGAACGAGAAAAAGGAUCAUUUACAAUUUGUUACGUGGACUCUUGGGCGAAUUAAAAAUGCCGAAUCCGAAUUCAGCCGAAUAAAAACGAUCUACAACUACGGGAGACCAAGGGCAAUCUACAGAAGUGUAUGUCAUAAUGCAAACGGCUUGGAGUAAAUAACGUGACCACGUGUAGAUCGGAAACACGUGUUCCGCCCUGUCAAAUGGUAUAUAUCUUUAUUAGAUGCAUACAGAUUAUUGAUAGAAUAAUAAUCUAAAUAAAAUAGAACGAUAAAUCUGAAUAACCUUAAAAUAUAAAUAUUAUCAAUCUAAUCGAAAUGAAGCCUUGUAAGCAUCUGUAAAUAAUUAAUUUCGCUUUCCUUGAAUAAAAAGGUGAAUGCAUACGUCAACUCGGCAUUGGUUGGCAUCGCAUGGCAUUUUACAGUGCGGUACAGUCCGUAUGCAAUAAAAACUGCAAUGCACACGUUAUGCACGUGAAUGUCGAGGCUCUCUUAAACGGAUCACACCACGCGUGGAAACCAAUUGCAAUAAUGGAGUCACCUACUAAACUCGAGGCGUUUGCAAAUCGGAUUCGUAUAUUGUCUGGGGCCACGUCUGUGCACAUGUCCGCGCACAUGCGCAUUACUAACGCUUAAUAUUGCUGCGAGUAAUCGAAUAAGAAAAAAGGCCAGAUUCAAUAUGACCGAGCAGGAAGAACACGUGGAACGUAAAAAAACAAUUCAUGUUACGUUCACUCAGUUUUAUUUUCUAAUGCAUUAUCACACACAUUGACACGAGUCAGUGAUACAUUUUGCCAGUGAUCCUUCAAAUAUUAUCCAGCAACUGUUCUAUUGUUCUAAUAGAAUUACUUUCUCCGUGCAUCAAUUACGCACGUGCCUCAUUCUCUUUCGAUAGCUCUAGCCAAACGUACAGCAACUUGGGCAUUUCGUGCAAUUGCUCACGUUGCCAUGACGCUUUCACUUUUCAAUACAAAUAUUCGAGAUGCAGUAGGCACGGUGACUUAGCUGAUAGUAGUCAGUCAGAUUUGACAGCUGUGAUUGAAUCGAUCUAUUAACGUUUUGUAACAUAUUUUUUUUUUUAAUUCGAAGUGAACUAGGUUUUGUCAGACUCAUUGAGUGCAGGCGAAAAUAAUGUCAAUCUUUUGUAUUUAUUAACAUAAAAUGAUCUGGGUGAAAGAUUCAGAAAAUUAUCUAUAAAAUACCUAAAGUACGUGUACAAAGUCACUUUGAGAGUCCAAUUGAAAAAAAUUGUUUGGAUUUUUUACACAAAAUUAUUAGAGAAAUAUACGACCGUGCAUCCCAAUCGUAAAAAAGAAUGAAAAAAGUGUGACUAUUAAAAGUUGUAGCUGAGCAAAUAAAAUUAUAUGGAAUACGGGAAAGUAUUAUCCAGCCUCAAUUCAGCUGUCAUUAUGUGUGUCCUUGUCUUACACCUUUAAAUACACAUAUCACUGUCUCUUUCGCACUCAUAUAAGGUAUAGAAAAACUUCGAAAUUCUAAAUCUUCCCUAGUAAAGUGUCAAUAACAAUUAUUCGAAAUAGUCACAUGUUUUAUUCCGUACAUGU